ACGUAGGGGGCGAGCGUUGUCCGGAAUCAUUGGGCGUAAAGCGCGUGUAGGCGGCUUGAUAAGUCUGGUGUGAAAUCUUGGGGCUCAACCCCAAACCUGCACUGGAUACUGUCAAGCUUGAGUCCGGGAGGGGAGAGCGGAAUUCCUAGUGUAGCGGUGAAAUGCGCAGAUAUUAGGAAGAACACCGGUGGCGAAGGCGGCUCUCUGGAACGGUACUGACGCUGAGACGCGAAAGCGUGGGGAGCGAACAGGAUUAGAUACCCUGGUAGUCCACGCCGUAAACGAUGGGCACUAGAUGUGGGCGGUGUCGACUCCGUCCGUGUCGAAGCUAACGCAUUAAGUGCCCCGCCUGGGGAGUACGGCCGCAAGGCUA
RNAcentral lists this ribosomal RNA (373 nucleotides) under uncultured bacterium. RNAcentral's name for it is "bacterial SSU rRNA". It matches the Rfam family "Bacterial small subunit ribosomal RNA", at positions 525 to 896 of the family's 1533-position model. The record is from RNAcentral.